Molecule: long non-coding RNA, 1342 nt
Organism: Ipomoea nil (Japanese morning glory)
Lineage: Eukaryota; Viridiplantae; Streptophyta; Magnoliopsida; Solanales; Convolvulaceae
Exons: 2
Source: RefSeq, a predicted model, not a curated record
CAAUUAAGCAGCUAGCUACCUAAACCUCUGUAUCAAGAAAGAGAAGAGACAAUAUAUGAGAAACUGUUCAUCCAGUAGAUCCUCCGACCUCCGGUGAGUGGCUUCCGUGCUAUGCUUGUGAAGUGAGCAGUCUUUUUGCUGUCCACCUUUCUUUCGUUGUCUGUUCGACCUUUGAAACUACACUGUAUUCCUAAUCUAAUUACAUGCAACCAUCUUAAUUACCCACUUCAGAUCUGUUUCGUUUCUUUCUCCAAUUUCUAUUUAGUUUAAUUUAUGCUUAAUAAAUUCUAUAUACAUACAGUAACUAUCUUACCUUUAGUUAAUUGUGAAGGACUGGUAGUUGGUACCAAAUACUCUACUUUUAUCGUAUAUAUAUAUAUCAUCAUCAUCAGAUCAUAUCAUACAGGUUUAUCUUAUCAUUUAGGGCCGGUGGGAGGGUCCCAAUUUUGGUUGCAUUGCCCUCAAUCAUUUAGGCCGGGCAUAUAUAUAUAUAUAUAUAUAUUGUUCUGUUUAUUAUACAUAACAGAUAUUCCAUGGUCAUCUAUGUAUAAGAAUAUUUUAUUUAUUGGAUAAUGGAGUACAUUAUGGGUAUUGAGAUUGUAAAAUUACAACAAAUUUAUAGGAAUUCAUUGCAAAAUAUAUAAGAAUAUAGUAUAGUAUAGUGAGCAUCUAUAGUGUUAGUGUGAAAAAGGGAACAUGAUUUAAAGGUCAAACUGACGACGAAUGUGAGGUAUAACAAGCAAGGACUGCUAAUUUGCCAAGCUUUGCAUGGAAACCGACGCCUAUGUAUCAAUAUAAUAUAUUCAAAUGAUGCCGCACAGAUAUGAUCCAACAUGUAUAUUCCAUAAUAUAUAUGUUAGAUGCCUGCAAUUCAACAAGGUAUGUAAUUCUUCCCUUAUUUUGCAUAUUAUUAUAUCGCCACCAUGUAUCCCAUCCAUUUUGUUUCUGAUACAUGUAAUACCCAUGCGUGUGAUUUUGGUUCAAUUCGUUACAUAUAAUUAUUGUAUAUUAUUAUAAUAUUUGGUGACAUUAAAAUGAAUAUCAAAAUUGUAAUUUUAAUGUUUUUAUUUAUUUAUUUAUUUAUUUAUUUUUAUUCUAAUGUUUAUUAAGCGUAAAUACUAUAUUUCACUUUCCAUACACAAGUCUACUACUUCAACAGGAAAUGCUUCUCAAUCGUAUUGUUGUUAAGAAUACGAAGGGAUAGACACUUUUGUUUUUUUGCGAAGAGCGAGGGAAAAUCGUAGUAGUCCGUACUCGAUCGAGAGUAUACAUUGGAUAAAUCUCAUUCAUGUGUAAUAACUCACAAAAUACACAUUUAAAAAAAAAAAAAACUCACAAAAUU